Molecule: long non-coding RNA, 2109 nt
Filed under: Ananas comosus (pineapple)
Lineage: Eukaryota; Viridiplantae; Streptophyta; Magnoliopsida; Poales; Bromeliaceae
Description: long non-coding RNA (ACOM_LNC027619)
Source: RNAcentral
GCGCACAAGUUCACGUCAAUAUAUAUUGUGAUAAUACCGACCGUCCCUAGAGCAAGUGGCAAAGGGUUUGGUGGUUGGUAUCCGAGACCCAAGUUCGAAUCCUAGUUGAUUAAUAUUUUCAGUUAAAUUUAUUUCUAAAUGAAAUAAACGAAGCAGGUUAGUAAAACACACUUUUUGCUAUUAAGUUUUUAACCCUUGGAUGAAAAAUUGUAGGGUCAGAAUGAUAUUAGUCGGUUAGAAUUGAGUGGUCCAACUAGGGUUGAGUGGUCCCCACUGGCUUAUAGUAUUUAAUCCAAGGAUUAGAAAUAAUGAAAAGAGUUGAUCCAAAUGCUAAAAAACUUGUAGCAACAAUAGGAUUUUGCUACUAAUAGUAGCCCAGUCCAACUCUCUCUCUCUCUCUCUCUCUCUCUCUCUCUCUCUCUCUCUCUCUCUCUCUCUCUCUCUCUAUAUAUAUAUAUAUAUAUAUAUAUAUAUANCAUUCCUUCAUCCAACGCCGGGUCUAUACCUAUAUGAGUCCGGCUACUAUACUCUUGUGAGUACGAUCGCCCUUGUCCUCAUAAUUUGUUUUCAAUGAUAGAGCUUCCGAAUCGACGUUCCACACUAUUAAACGUAUCUAGAGCAUUUAAAACGUCUAGAAAUCAAAUUUUAUAAUUCUUUGACAUCAUUUACCUUGCGAUCAAACGGUCACAAAAUUGACAAUUUUUAACGGCCAGUAUGGAAUAUUUGCUAGUUUAACGGUGAAAAAGAGUCGAAAUAGGUUGAAUUUUUGAUAGAAAAUUCUAUUCACUAUCUAAAUAAAGAUCAAUAACUCCGAUCUUAAAUUGAAGGAUCCGAUCAUCCAUUUUUAGGAUGUCAUUCGAUCUUAACCGUUCAUUUUAUACUCGCUUGAUUGAUUUUAUAAUGAUUUCGAAAAUUUAUGAAGUUUAUUUUCUAGAAGUUUCAAAUACUCUAAAUCAUGUUUAACUGUCACGCCCCGGGACCCAGCGGAAGCCCGCCCGGCGCGUGCCCAGACUCGCCAUAUGUCUACAAAAUAUAAGGCGUCUAAAAACAACAAUAAUAAAGCAAUAAUAAAAGACAUCUAGGAGUAUCAGAGCUUAAUAAAUGUCUAAAUGCUACAACCAAGGAUGAGGAUAAAUUGUAAAUCCACUAAAUAAGACAUAAAGUAAAUACAAUAGGAAACCCCAAAUACAAGUGCUAUAGGUAGAUACACAGGUGGUCUCUAUACAUGGAUACAAAAACUCUCACUCUCUCAACUACAAAAGAAAGAGUAAACUACCUAGGCAGAGUACCGCUCCUCGCUAGCUAGCUACGCGAUCCCCUUGCAGCGAUCCCGUGCCUCCGCCGGUGCAGAAGGCUCUGAAAAGGAAACCAUAAAACAGGGGCGUGAGAACUAUUAAAAAUAGUUCCCAGUGGGCAAUUACUGACUUCAGUGAAUGCACCACAAGGCCCAAAGCUACAAGGAAAGUGGUCAGCAACAAUAAAAACAGUAAAGCGAAGUGCAAGUAAAAGUGUAACUUACUACAACAUGAAGUCUCUACUUAGCAUAAUUUGCAUAAGUAAUAAGGCAACUAUAUCAUGGAUGUACAUGGAUAGGUAUGACAUGCGUAAUCAUAGAAAUGCAACCAACCCGAUGUCCUUGAUGCAAAAAUAGUAAAGAUGUCAUAGUUUACUAUCCUAUUUCAAGUCCACUUUAACAGUUUUAAAGUUUACAUAUCAUAGUGAAUACUCAAAGUCAAAUCUGAAGAGACCCACCCGAAGGCUGUCUAUGGCCCUGAGACCCACCCGUAGGCUGUCUGGCCAGUGCCGAGCCUAAUGGCCCCGUGGUAGUCAUCAUCCCCACCCUAGGAAUGAGCCUGUCCCACGGCAAUCCACUUCGGCGCCCAAUCCCGCACGGCGAAUAUGAAUCGCGAUGGCUAUCUCCGGAGUGCCGGCUUGUAGGGAGCGACCCUCACAAGCAUGUGCGAAUGAGCACAAUGGCAAGUAGUCAUACGUCCAGUCACAAGUACCAAGUCCUCAUGUCAAAUAACAUGGAAUGUAUCGAAUGUCCCAAAGGCCUAUCUCUAUGUCAUCAUGUCUCUAACAUGGAAUAUAUAGCAGAUGUACAAUGGC